Periophthalmus magnuspinnatus is the source of this 114-nucleotide ribosomal RNA. The record is from Ensembl. Lineage: Eukaryota; Metazoa; Chordata; Actinopteri; Gobiiformes; Gobiidae.
UGCCGUAAAAUAUUUAUUAGGCAAAGCCUGAUCUCAUCAAACCUCAGAGGCUAAGCAGGGACAGGCCUGGGCAGCACUUGGAUGGGAGACCACUGGGACCAGGGGCCACAGUGG